CUGCUGUGUUUUAAAGCACAGAGUGUUUUACAGCUCAGCUAAAGAACUCCAUGUGAAAAAUUGCUUUACAUUGAUUUAGUUAAUGUUAAACAUUUAAGACUGUGUGCAUUUUUAAUAAGGAGGAAAAUGUUUUAAACGACGAUUUGCGUAUUUAUGACGCGCAAUCCAAGCAUCCAACCAGAUUAAAAUUUAUUUUUUUUCAACAUUUUGAAUGUUUAGAAGUUACACUGCCGUGCGUUUCUCCGGAGCCUAAAGCCUUAUUGAAUGAGUAAUUAGCCGAUGAUAAGUGAGGCUAUUUCCACGGCCAUAGGCUCAGAAAUAUGACUGUGCAAACUCUGCUGGAUGGGAGCAAACUUCCUCCAAAUUAACUUUCCGUCUCUCUCGGCUGUGUCAUUGAUUAAUGAGAACAGAUAGCCGCGGAUGCUGACGAGGUGCGGGGCGAUCUGUCUAAUUGAGGGGUGUCCCCAGCUCAAUAUUCAGGGAAUCUCUCUGCCACUCAGCGGCCUAAUGGGCCGCAUUAACAACGCUGUGCACAGCUGCCAGGACGCCUGCGGGAUACCGAUGUUCCCCCGGCUGCUCCCGCUUCGGCUGGCGCGCCAGCACUCCUCAGUGGAUGCUGACGGGAAAUCAAUGUGUUUCCCUUGCUGCUGACUGGAUCUAUAUGCGAGCAACCUCAUUGGGAAAUAUCGUGGGCAGGAGACGUUGAGGUGGCCCGAGAGAAGGAGAGACGGACAGAAAAGAGAUGCUGCUGGUGCGUUGGAGAGGCCGGCAGGGGUGAUGCAAAAGUGGAAGGAGAGGUUUCGGAAACUGUGACGCUGUGCUUUGUCAGCGCAGGGUGCAACACAGGGAGAAGGCCACAUCUGGAGUCCUCAACUGCAUGCAUUAUUUCAUCAUCAUGCAGAAAAUGGUGACCAUGCAAGUGGGAUUUCAGUUUGGGAAACAGAAGUCAGACGGUGCAGGUCGGGUGAGUAGGGUCUUCAGCAACAGAUCAAAGCCACAUUUUACUGUUUCUGCCACCUGUGCUAUGUGGACAGAUGCAUUUUCUUUGAGUGCUUCAAACAUUUGAGCUUUUGUAGACAGUGAUACGAUGUUUUAUGGUAUACAGGGGAGUUACAUGUCGCCAGGAGAAGCACUUUGGCAUAGAGUACUUACCAACGAAAAACUGGGAGGAUCUGUGUUGUAUGUUGCAGGCCUUAAACUUGUCUUUCCGUGUGUUCUGUUUGUAUGUAUGCUGCGAAGCAGAUAGAGAGCGAAAACCUCACCAUCUUUGUACUUGUUGCCAGUUGAUGCCGUUACUCUGAUCCCUCAGGGCUGGCAUGCUUGGUUGUCCAGGUGAUGGCUACCAUGGAGACAGAGGGCCUGACCGGUCUUGGCCCACUCUAUUACACCAACUGUGCCAACUUACCGUCAACUGGACACUAAACGACGGCGACACGUACGCCCCUCUCCUCUGCUGUGUACUGUGGGCACAUGUGCUCAAACCUGAGAAAAGAUAAACCAAAAGGGUGCGCAGCCAUUUGAAAUCAGGAGAUCUGAAAUCAGAUUUGCCACCCUCAGAUCUAACCACAUCAGUUAAAAGAGUGUUGAAAUAUCUGACCCGGCAUCAGUGGCGUAUGGGGAUGAUUUUCUUGUUGGUGGGCUAUAAGCAACACAGAGAAGAGAUUUGCGGAGACAGCCCAUAACAGCUCCCUUGGAACCAAUGACUCAGAUAUGCAGAUGUGUUUACUUCCCUUCUGUUUCCCACCUCAACCAGCACACAAAAGGCAGGGGGAAUGAAAGUGCCUGAUAAUGUCUUUAAGUGUUUCAUUUAUAUAUUUAUAUGCUGUUAUAAAGAACUCAUUUUUUACUAAAACUUAGACAAGCACUUCAAAUAGGCUCUUUGCCUCUUCCCUCUAUUCCCUCCCUCCCUUCUGAGGGUAUUCAUCUUUUGUCUAAUGCGUAGCGCUGCUCUCUGUUAGUUUCUUUUCUGACACCAUGCCAGCAGAGUCAUCUGCAAAGGGACUCAUGUAGGGAUUAAAAACCAUCAACAGCUCCCCUUUAACAGAGAGGUAGAAAAAAAACGUUGAAAAAUAAAAUACAAAAAAAACAAAACUCCAGACAGUUUUGUGAAAACUUGCAGAAAGCGAAUGCAGAUUGUCACCUGACCCUGAGGCAAGGCAGCCCUAAAUAUAAUAAAGAGAAGACAACAGAAGAAGACGAGGCGACACGACACGGGUAAUGUGUUUUCUCUGCUGGUGUCGUCUGGCAGAUCUGGGAUGAUUGAGUGCUGAUGCCUGCCUGGGCAGCUUCAGAGAAGAUCGUCUACCCCCUCCUCAGCUCGAACACACAUGCACACACGUGCACAGCUCUCUCACAUCACACACUGACACAUGUGUGCGUGCACACACACAUACAGAUUUUCUGUUGUCGAAGUGACAAAAACAUCAAGGCGUAUUAACUGUCAUCAUCUCGGCAUCUCUUCAUCUCUCUUUUUGGUCGAGGGAAUAUUUCAAGGUAACACUUUUUUAUUGUGGCGUGCCUGUGUUUGUGUGUGGUUUCUCUCCAUGGUGGAUGUGUGUCUUAAUUAUAACGAGGUUUAGUGAAUUAGGCCAGGAUGUGUAAUAGACUCAAAUUUGUAUAAUCUCUGUUGAAUAAACCCCAGUCACAAACAUGCAAGCAGAAAAUCAUACCUACUUACUGUACUUGCACGACUUCAAUGAAAAAUGAUGUAAAAAGGCGUGUUUGUGACAGUAAUUGAUAAUGUUUAUUUGCAAAAUGUGCAUAUUAAUCUCUGUGCAUUUGUAUAAUCACUCUGUAUUGUGAAAUUGUCAGCAGCAGAUACAGGCAAACAGGUGCUGGCUACAGAGGAAGUUGAUUGGCUGGUUUCCAUGAUCCAUUUUCCCAAGGCUUCCACACCCCUGCAGCUGUCCUCAAGAAUAUGAGAACCAUGUGUGUGCGCAUGUGUGUGUGUGCCUGUGUGUAUUCGUAGUGCAUGCUUGUGGUUAUGACAAAUUCACUCCUUGUUGCUUGCCAAUAAGCAAGACAAUGAUCUUCAUUGACAACGAAACAUAAAAUGCCAAACAAAUGGGCCAACAAAUAAAAGUAACUGGAGAAAAUUACCACCUGAAAUUUAACAGCCCUUCACUGAUUUGUGUCUUUUUUUGUUUGUUUUUUUGGACCAAUUUUAAGAUUUCUCAAAGUUUGAAAGAAUCUGGCCUGCUUGUGAAUCAGCUUCCCUGAUGUUCAAAGUGAAGUCAUGUAACAGGUUUUUUGAGCUUUUGGCUGUUUUGCAUGGUGGAACGUUUUGAACUGAGCAGUGACAGCCUCAGUCCAACUGAAGAGUCUACUUCAACUCGCCUCAUUUCUAUUGGAAAACACUUCUCUCUCCCCUCUCCCUCCUUCUCUCUCUCUCUGUCUCUCUCCCUCACCGUCCUCUCUCUCUGAAGCUGCAGAUCACUUGAAAAAGAAAGGGGAAGGAACAUGAAUAAAAACUGAAGGCACUUCUCUCAGAUAUGUCUCUUGAUGCUCGUCAGAUCUUUAAGGCUUCGUCACAGGGAAAUGCAGGGUUACUCUAAGAAACCGAAGGACUGUGACUUCCCUAAUCUACUGUACAAGACCUGAAUUUCAGGACUCACCUUCUUCACAGCAACUUUGCUUGCCUCUCUCGCAAUCUGGAUCUCUUCUAUAUGGCUUUCACUUAUUGAUGGGCAGGUGGAGGUGGAGUGUCACUCAAUCACCACUUUUCUUAGAAUUUGGAUGACAAGAAGAAAACUAGGGCCACAUUGUCAAAAGGAAGCAUGUCCUUGAUCAUUUCAUAUUCUCAUGCCACAAAAGAAAAAGAAAAAAUCACAAGAUAAACUUAAAUGUAAGAAGAAGUACAGAAGUUUACAUUAUUUAUUAUUAUGAUCCUGUAUGCAAUUUGUUCAGGUAAAUAUAAAUAUAACUUGUUAACUGGAUGAGUCUGUGUCCAAUAAAACUUUAAAAGGCUUAAAAACUUUUGUACUGAUUUAGGAUAUUAUUGAGAAAUUUCCAUGAGAGAAUUUCUUUUUACAACUGCAGUAGUAUUCAUACUGACUGCCAUCUAGUCCUGCGUAUUGUAGUUUGCAGGUCUGGAGGAGUAAAAGCUGAACCUGGGUUUGCCCUAUAAGUCUCUGAUGACUGAUAUUUUACGCAUAAUAAAAACACCCUUGUAAAGUGAAUCUGACUGGGUACCAGCAAUUCAAUAUCAAGCAACAGCAGAGUAAAUAAACUCCCAGCAGUGUCUGUUUUUCUCUGUCCAUUUCUCUGAAUUGGCCUUGAACAGGUUUGACCUCUAUAGAUGGAAGCUACAUGUAACAUUGGUUGUCCUUAACAUCAUCUUUAAAACUGGAAGGCGCCGCACAGAGUUGAAAUCAGCGAAAGCUGGAUUAUGCAGCGAGUAAUGCUGCUGUGACGAUUGCUGGCUGCAGUAAUGCCCAUAAGCCUUGAAUUUAACAGCUUCUGUUUCGUUCAUUGAUUCUGUACUUUCUCCUUUAUGUGAAAAAUUGCUUGUUUAAGUUUUGAUCGCAUGUUGUAUUAUAGUUAAACAUUAAGUAACUCUGCAACAGUAAUGCUUCUCUUAUUUUCUCUUUUUCUGCAGCCAUUUUAGGAAAACUAAAAUAAGAUGUGCUUAUUGGACAUUACCUGACUUAGAGGCGGACACAUAUUUGGAUGUACGUGGUUCAAUUCAACGUGAUGAGCAGAAGAGGAGAAAUUUAGUUAUGACUCAUGUUGAUCUUUUGGGGCUUGUGUCAGCACGGAUGAUGGGAUAAAUUUGGGAGGGUGACUUGGCCUGAGGUCUUGUGUUCUCUGUAGUCAGAGUCCAUUGCAACAGUUCACCCUCAUGACAAGACAGAGAACAGCACCCCCUGUUGGAGAGCAACAGCAUUGCUUUGAGGGGCAGCAUAGAAAAAAAACUGUAUGACCUCAGGUUGACCUUAUGUCUUGUGACCUGCAGUGUGAGGUGACAGCUUUAACUUUCUUAAACAGUAUGUUCUUGUUUAUUCAUUGUGUUUUCACCUUUUAGAGAAUUGACACAAACGAAGCACUUUAUGCUGAGUGUCCUGCCUUUAAUUGUCUAUUUCUUUUGCUCAAAAUAAUAGUGAAGAAGUGUGACUGAGAUUUCUAUUGUUCUUGUCUGUUGUUGUCACUGCAGUUCCUCCUCCCCUCUCUGCUACCUGGACAUCGCAUAGCCAACAGAUUAAUUAGACAACUGAUAGUAGUGCUCUCUCUUAGUGCUGGCCCACUGAGUUUUCUUUUUCUUUUUCACUUCUUGUAAGUCUCUAAUUUCUGUCUUUACAUUAAUGGAGCUUACUUGGCGUGCUGACCCAGUGGAAGCAAAAAUUAAGUCUCCUUUUUUCCUCCAGGGGGGCUGCAGCUUAUUCUGCAGCUAGUUUGCUUCAUCCAUUUGGUGAGGGAAAACAUUACACCAGACAGUUUUGUUAGACCUUACAGAUCCUGAAAAAAAAAAGCUUGCAUGUCAUUAGCGCUUUUGCACUGUAUCGCUCAAUCUUACAGAGAAGGUUGCAAUCUAUAAAUAAAAGCAAAGGGCGUUUUGUGAGAGCAACCACAGUUUCAUGUUCUUCUAUUCAAUGUCUGUCAACCCUCUCUGGACGAGGGUCCACGUUGGUUGCCUUGGAAACCAGCAUAGGACUAUUCUGAGUGCCCAGUAGUGAGAGAGAGAGGAAGCGAGUGUAGUAAAGGUAAGUCACUCAAGGACUAUCUGGUCAACCUGAUAAAGUGUGAUGAAAAUCAAAGGCCACGACUCAGCGUCGCCUGCGAUUCUGAAGAGAAAGAAAGAGAAAAAAAAGUGAUUUCUCUUCUGAAAGCUUUGAAAAGAGUUUAACACAAUGGACCAAAUAUUGUGCUGCUCUCCGAGCAUGUCUUAUAAAGUGGAAGAAUCAAUAGAAUAACUAGAGAAUAAAUUUACUUUCUCCUCCAAUGUACGAACAGUGCAGUAUGUUCAAAAGAUGAUGCCACAUCUGACUGGGUCCUAGACAUUUCUUUAUAUUUUUUUCUUGAAAACAUUUUUACACAUCCCUUCUGCGCUAUCUGUGCAUUAAUUACAUGUGUCUGAAGUGCAAGCCACACUUGUUACACCAAACCAUUAUGUAUGAGUCCAGGUCUGGGGCUCCACGCUUUUUAUUCAUGUUCUUUGAGGAGGCUGUCAGGCAUAAUUAAGACAACAUGCUUCUAACCAGUCUGUUUGGAUAGCCUCUGCCUCCCAACCCCCCUCACACUUCACUCUGCCUGAAUCUGCCGCUGCAAACGCACGUCAGUCCUUUGUAUGUAUCACAAAGCGCAGGGAUGCAGGCAAGUGUGUAACAGUGACUAUAUCUAGUUUAGUUUGAGCAAAGGCAACAGAUGGCAGGAAAAUACCCAAUUUGUUCAUCUCUAACAUCUAAUUGCAGUGUGGAAGUUUAAGGCAAGAAAAGAGACAGAAACAAAACAUUUCAGGUUUACUCUUCAGAUAAAAACAACUGUACCGCUUCUCCAUUCCUGCUAUAUUUACACUCAUGAACAUUUUGCAGGCAAAAAGCUGCUGUGAGAUCAGUGUUUGUUUUCCUUCUUUUUCCCCUCUCCUCACUCUUCCCUUGUGAUCCAAGGUGACAGGGCAGGGCGGAUAGGACGAGCAAGCCUGUAGAGCAAGGGGCAGUGAGAGAACAGUCUGGACAAUAUGGACGGGAAACAUAGGCCUGUUGGUGUUGUAGAGACACUCCAGAGGGCAUAAUUCAAUCAUAGCUGUGAUGAAGACAGAGAGACAGAGUUGCGCGAUAAACUGGGAGAAUUGGAGGCAGAGGAGAGCGGAUAGAGGCAUGAGUAGAAAGAAUCAGAUUACCAUGCUCUUAAAGGGGAGGGGAGGAUGACACUCAUCCGACCUGAUUUAAACGACAGAAGCGUAAGGAAUGAAGUCCUCAGUUCGUCUGUACCCAGACCCUGCUAGGGAGCGAUGAGUGUGAGAGAGGGGAGCAGAAGAAUCGGUCAUGCUUGGAGUGAGAUGGUGCCUAAUCGUCCAGAGGCCCGGACUGAGUAACUGUGACUGGGUGCAUCCACUGCUGAGCGAGCGGCAGGGACAAUCUGAAAAGCUAAAAAGCCAUAAUCAGGUUUUUUACGCAAACGGGCAAGCACGGCUUGCAUGUGGGCUGCUUGGGGCUAUGUGUGAUGAGGCCGUCAGCCGCUAGUGGUCCACAGACAUGACACAAGUCAUUUCACCUCAGCUCCACUCUGCUCAUGCACAUUCACAGGAUGGUAAUCAUGCCCUGCGCUCUCUGGCUGAUGCUGUCUGUGUGAAUGUAGCCCAUCUGUGCAGCUGGUUGGCUGGAUUGAUGGUUUUUAGUCUACCUAUUGGAAUAUCUUUUCUUUUCCCUUUCACUCUCUAUUCUAUUCACUCUUUGCUUAAGGGUUGUCUAUUUCUGUCUUUCUUCAACAAUCAGGUGCUGUAAUGGUGUCAAACAUUGGUGAGAAACAAUUUCAUCCUUACAGUAAGAGCCCCUGUGAUUAUAACUGAUGGGCCCAGAUAGUUUCCUUUCAGGUGUGUGUGUAGUUCGUUCUUCUCCCUGAGUUUAUGUCAGCAUGAAUGUGUGUAUGUGUUUAUGUGCGCGCAUGUUUGUCUUAGACUAUUGAUCUGGCCAGCCUACAGCAGACAUUAAAUGAGAAGAGUGGAGGCUGAUGUCGACAAGGAGAGAGAUGGAAAGAGUGAUGGAUGGCAAUAAAGGAAAGGGAGCUGUAGGCAGUCAGAUCACAUUUAUCUUUUUGAUGUUGCCAUUUUGAAGUGUAAAACAUGGAGAAUGCAUUUAAAGGUCUAUCUAACAAUGUAAAAAUUGAAUCUUUGUGCAUUUUUUUUGCAGCUUUUUCAAGACGGUCCCUGCAUGUCUCCAUUUCAGUUGCAACUGGUGCGAACCGCAAGAUGUGAAGCCAGAUGUGGACACCGAAGUGGACGUGGUACAAAUACACACACUCACUUGCAAUAAAUGUGCUCUUAUAAAUCAAUUUUUCUCUACUGUACAGACACAACCGGAUUGAAGGAAGUGGCUCGGAAAUAUCAAAACAACCUUGGGGAGCUUGAGCUCACAGUGAACACUGUGUGCCUCCACUACGUGGGCUCUUUAUAUCUCUCCUAUUCAAUCAAUGUGCUCCCCUCUCUUUCGUCCAUUAAUUUGGUCUCUCUCUCACUCUGUAUGCAUUAUUUGUGCCACUGUACUGUUUGUCCUCUUCAGUGGGUAUCAUAAAGCAGUGGGGAAGACACACACACAAACACACACCCACAAACUCGUGUGUAAUGCAUUCAGAGCAUUUGAAAUGUCAAAGUGUUACAGGCGCGAUGACUUAACUAGUUCUACCCAAUCGAGGGACACAGCAAAUGAACAGGUUCUCUUAGUCUGUCAUUAUAUGAAUUACAUUAUGAUUACAUGCCACACACAUACACACAAGAAUGUAUAUUUAUAUAUGCACACUUGGGAAAAACAUAAAUGUAAUGGCACGUCUUUGCCAAGUAUAGUAAAAGGCAUUCUUCGAGUGUACACAGUAACUCAUGGACACACCCAAGUAUUGUGUGUUCACAUGCAAACAGAGACACGUGUGUAAGUUGUUGCAGUAUAUACAUACAACGCACAGCACUCAAGAGGUCAAGAGCACCAUCUGUGCAUGUUCAAUUCUUAAUUAGAUUCGCAGCCACUGAAUAAUGUAUUUGUGUGACCAAAAUAGAUUGGAACUGGAGAAUACCUGAAAUUACAUAUUUGACACAUUGUUCGACGUCUUGGAAAUCAUUGUGUUUUUCUUUCCUAUUUCCUGGUGUCGAGCCGUUUAGUCAGUCUCAUUAAUUCAAGCGUCCUGCGGAUGUUAAAGUGAUACCCCCCCCCAAAAUUUAUUUUCACACUCUCUCUCUCUCUCUCUCUCUCUCUGGCUUACUCUUUUAGUGGCAGUCAAAAGUUUUGUAAGUUGCCUCCUGGUUGGAGAACCGUAGUAUGUUUACCUGCAGUUCUUUUCCACUGGAAUGUGCAGUUUUAAACAGUCUGAAUGCCUAAUCUGACUAUACAAUUGCCAUUAUAUAAAAUAUUAAUAAAUACACAAAUGAGUAGGUAUGGGUACAAUAA
Amphiprion ocellaris (clown anemonefish) is the source of this 9089-nucleotide long non-coding RNA. RefSeq lists it as uncharacterized. Lineage: Eukaryota; Metazoa; Chordata; Actinopteri; Pomacentridae. The record is from RefSeq and is a predicted model, not a curated record. The transcript has 4 exons.